RNAcentral lists this long non-coding RNA (1497 nucleotides) under Theobroma cacao (cacao). Its description in RNAcentral is "long non-coding RNA (TCAC_LNC006187)". The record is from RNAcentral. Lineage: Eukaryota; Viridiplantae; Streptophyta; Magnoliopsida; Malvales; Malvaceae.
UGUCACGACCCGAAACUCCCAUCGAGCCCGUGACAACCGCCGCGAUGUCCCGAUAGGCACUCAUUACCCCGAAUGCCGAUCGAAACCCCGCAAGGCUUAGCAUUAGCUUCCGUAUCUCCCCAGUGAGCGACAGUUAUUAAAUCUCACAUUUUAAAAAAAUCAUAAGUCAUUUCCAAAUCAAAACAAUAAAAUAUUACUUUCUGGCUCACAGGGGCAUUUUCGUCAUUUUUCUUCGAAAAUACCGAAACUCACUAAAAACAUGGUGUAAAAGCUAAAUAUAUUCAUACAUACUUUAAAUCAAAUAACUGAAGAAUAAAAUUACUUUUAUAGUGACACGUGGGCCCCCAACUGACUAAGAAGAUGUAGGGCUACGAACCCUUACUUUCUAGGAUGCAACUCUGAGAUUAAUUCUCGUCUUAAUCAACUAUCAACAAAUUGUCCUGAGCCUGAAAAAUGGAUAGGAAGAGGGGUGAGAUUAUGAUUACAUAAUCUCAGUGAGUAAACAAUUACCAUCAAAAGCAUCUAAAGUCGAGUAGAUGGAGACAAUAUAAAAAUGUUAUAUCUCAAUAAUGUUCAUAACACAAAAUUCGUUUUAAUCUAUACCAAAUAAUUUCUUUUCAUCAAAAUUUUUCGGCUUAUGAAUUUCUUAAACUUGGCCCUUGCCAGAAUCAUUCUCGCGGGUACCUUCGUCAAGGUAUCCCAUUGAGACCGCCAAGGCUGUUAAAUGACCCAUACCCAUGAACAUGUUUUCACAUCUGACACAGCCGUUCCUUGGCGUUGGCUGAGUCUCACUCUCACGUGGUGGCCUGAACGUGAGGUGCACUCAAAUCAUACCUCAGUAGAUACUUCACCCAACAUCUUCCCCCGGAGGUAAGUAUAUAAUUGAGUUACCGUGCACCUCUCAUAGGCAGUCUACGGAAACCCCUACCACUGCAGUGACCGUUUAAUAUACCACCAGACCCAUAAAAAUUCCAAUAGCAUAAUAUGGCGAAUAAAAUGUAAUCCAGUCUACCGAGACCAAUCCAAAACUAUUCAUAUAUUUCAUGCCAACCCCAAAAAUUUAGCCAUCAUGCUACCAUAGUGUCAUAAGCCACAAUUUCAAUAACAUAUAAAAUCAUAAAUUUCAACACAGUCUCCAUAUACUUAAUUUUCUCAAAACAAUAUUUGAUUUCAAAACCAGUAUAAAUCUCAUUUUUAUUAAAAAAUAUUUUAAUUGGAAAACAUAAUAUUUUAUAAUUUAAACUCACCAUUCAAUAAAAACAUCAAACAAGUAUAAUUACUCUAGAUAUUUAAGACGAUAAAUUAUCCACUCACAGUUCUAGGAGUCGAUAUACUCCUAACCCCAAUCUUCAAGCACAAUCUCUGUACUUUUACCAGUGUAAUUUGCUCACCACCUAUCCACAAUGUACAAUACAUAAUUCACCACAUUAAUGCUUGACCAUUAUAAAAUCAAUUCAGGCUCGAUGUAUAUGCAUGAUAUGACAUGCAACUUAUCCG